This 975-nucleotide long non-coding RNA is filed under the name Rattus norvegicus (Norway rat). RNAcentral's name for it is "long non-coding RNA NONRATT024805". Lineage: Eukaryota; Metazoa; Chordata; Mammalia; Rodentia; Muridae. The record is from RNAcentral.
AACAGAACUUGGUGCAAAUAAGAAUGUGGCUGGGACCCAUUAGGAUUGUUUUUUCCCCCACACCCUGACCUUCUUAGGGGACGCAAGAGCUUACAGGUUGCCAGGGUGAGCCGUCACACAGCAGAGGAGAGGGGAUUAAAUAAAAACUCCUAAGGUAAGAAGUUCAGUGCUUUACAUAAAACAGUAAACUAUGCAUCUCAUUUUAUUAUGACUCCAUAUGUCAGGAGGGGAUGCUAUUGAAGUAACAAUCAUUUAAAAACAACAACCAACAAACCAGCAUUUAAUUUGGUAUUUAAAACCAAUCAUUGAAAGUCAAACGGAAGCAGUAUGUAAAAUAACUAAGAUAACAAGUAGUAUGAACUCAAGCUCUGUGUAUUGAAAUAUGAUAAUUCAUCACGAGUGAGCUACAAUGUACCUGCAAGGACAGGAAGGGCAUACGUUAGCAAAGAGAGGCUGUUAGAGUGCAGGAUUCCCCUCAACAUUUUAAAGGGCUUUAGAACAGAUUUUCUAUGCAAACACUAACCAACUAUAAUUUGUUGUAUGUUCUUUCACACAUGACCUUAUUUGAAGCAGUGUUCUUACUAACACAGUUCAUAUUAAUAAAACAUUGAGAAGAAUUUUCUUUCCCAGAUAUUUCACUAGUUUGAAAGAGUUAUUCCAGAGAUUAGUCUGAAUUUCUGUGGCAACCUAAGCCAUUAAUGAAGACAUGCGUCUGAAAAUAAGGCAGUCUCUCUAUAAUCUGUUCAUGAAUAGAAAACAAAUCUUUGGUUUUCUGCUUAAAGUGGCAGAGAAGAUUUUGCAAAAAGAAAUAUUAAAUAACAAACACAAAGAGCUCUUAACAAGCAAUGGGAAACUCCAAACCCCAUCAAGGUAAGUAGAGUACCUAAGGCACCUCAGGUUCAGAUGAUACAAUCGUCUGCUUAGAGUUCAAACAGUCUGUGUACAUGAUUCUUACCAUCUGGAGAAGCUGAAGCC